CCUACGGGAGGCAGCAGUCGGGAAUAUUGCGCAAUGGAGGAAACUCUGACGCAGUGACGCCGCGUGCAGGAAGAAGGUUUUCGGAUUGUAAACUGCUUUAGACAGGGAAGAACAAGGACAGUACCUGUACAAUAAGCUCCGGCUAACUACGUGCCAGCAGCCGCGGUAAU
RNAcentral lists this ribosomal RNA (170 nucleotides) under uncultured rumen bacterium. RNAcentral's name for it is "partial 16S ribosomal RNA". It matches the Rfam family "Bacterial small subunit ribosomal RNA", at positions 338 to 524 of the family's 1533-position model. The record is from RNAcentral.